Oncorhynchus tshawytscha (Chinook salmon) is the source of this 695-nucleotide long non-coding RNA. The record is from Ensembl. Lineage: Eukaryota; Metazoa; Chordata; Actinopteri; Salmoniformes; Salmonidae.
AACAACUCCAUAUUAAUGACUUCCCAGAAGAGUGGAGGCUGUUAUAGCAGCAAAGGGGGGUCCAACUCCAUAUUAAUGACUUCCCAGAAGAGUGGAGGCUGUUAUAGCAGCAAAGGGGGUCCAACUCCAUAUUAAUGCCUUCCCAGAAGAGUGGAGGCUGUUAUAGCAGCAAAGGGGGGACCAACUCCAUAUUAAUGACUUCCCAGAAGAGUGGAGGCUGUUAUAGCAGCAAAGGGGGGGGGACCAACUCCAUAUUAAUGACUUCCCAGAAGAGUGGAGGCUGUUAUAGCAGCAAAGGGGGGGUCCAACUCCAUAUUAAUGACUUCCCAGAAGAGUGGAGGCUGUUAUAGCAGCAGCAGGGGGGUCCAACUCCAUAUUAAUGACUUCCCAGAAGAGUGGAGGCUGUUAUAGCAGCAGAAGAGGGGGUCCAACUCCAUAUUAAUGCCUUCCCAGAAGAGUGGAGGCUGUUAUAGCAGCAAAGGGGGUCCAACUCCAUAUUAAUGCCUUCCCAGAAGAGUGGAGGCUGUUAUAGCAGCAAAGGGGGGACCAACUCCAUAUUAAUGCCUUCCCAGAAGAGUGGAGGCUGUUAUAGCAGCAAAGGGGGGUCCAACUCCAUAUUAAAGCCCAUGAUCUUGGAAUGAGAUGUUGGACGUGCAGGUGUCCACAUAUUUUUGGUCAUGUAAUGUAUCAUCAAG